RNAcentral lists this ribosomal RNA (474 nucleotides) under uncultured bacterium. RNAcentral describes it as "partial 16S ribosomal RNA". It matches the Rfam family "Bacterial small subunit ribosomal RNA", at positions 28 to 507 of the family's 1533-position model. The record is from RNAcentral.
GAUGAACGCUAGCGGCAGGCCUAACACAUGCAAGUCGAGGGAGGAGCUUUCGGGCUUCGACCGGCGUACGGGUGCGUAACGCGUAUACAAUCUGCCUUUCACAUAGGGAUAGCCCGAAGAAAUUUGGAUUAAUACCUAAUGGUAUAUAGGAGUGGCAUCACAUUUAUAUUAAAGCUGAGGCGGUGAAAGAUGAGUAUGCGUUCUAUUAGCUAGUUGGAGAGGUAACGGCUCCCCAAGGCGACGAUAGAUAGGGGUUCUGAGAGGGAUAUCCCCCACACUGGUACUGAGAUACGGACCAGACUCCUACGGGAGGCAGCAGUGAGGAAUAUUGGACAAUGGUCGGAAGACUGAUCCAGCCAUGCCGCGUGCAGGAAGACGGCCUUAUGGGUUGUAAACUGCUUUUGCAGAGGAAGAAUAAGGACUACGAGUAGUUUGAUGACGGUACUCUGCGAAUAAGCAUCGGCUAACUCCGUG